AUUGAACGCUGGCGGCAUGCCUUACACAUGCAAGUCGAACGGCAGCACGGGAGCAAUCCUGGUGGCGAGUGGCGAACGGGUGAGUAAUAUAUCGGAACGUGCCCAGUCGUGGGGAUAACGUAGCGAAAGCUACGCUAAUACCGCAUACGAUCUAUGGAUGAAAGCGGGGGAUCGCAAGACCUCGCGCGAUUGGAGCGGCCGAUAUCAGAUUAGGUAGUUGGUGAGGUAAAGGCUCACCAAGCCGACGAUCUGUAGCUGGUCUGAGAGGACGACCAGCACACUGGGACUGAGACACGGCCCAGACUCCUACGGGAGGCAGCAGUGGGGAAUUUUGGACAAU
RNAcentral lists this ribosomal RNA (340 nucleotides) under uncultured bacterium. RNAcentral describes it as "bacterial SSU rRNA". It matches the Rfam family "Bacterial small subunit ribosomal RNA", at positions 30 to 372 of the family's 1533-position model. The record is from RNAcentral.